Molecule: transfer RNA, 70 nt
Filed under: Dipodomys ordii (Ord's kangaroo rat)
Lineage: Eukaryota; Metazoa; Chordata; Mammalia; Rodentia; Heteromyidae
Rfam family: tRNA
About the family: Transfer RNA (tRNA) molecules are approximately 80 nucleotides in length. Their secondary structure includes four short double-helical elements and three loops (D, anti-codon, and T loops).
Source: Rfam by way of RNAcentral
GGGAAAGUGGCUCAGUGGUAGAGUGCUUGCCUUGCAUGCAUUAGGCCCUGGGUUCGAUUCCUCAGCACCA